This 254-nucleotide ribosomal RNA is filed under the name uncultured bacterium. RNAcentral's name for it is "partial 16S ribosomal RNA". It matches the Rfam family "Bacterial small subunit ribosomal RNA", at positions 79 to 334 of the family's 1533-position model. The record is from RNAcentral.
CUAAGGCCGAUGGCGACCGGCGCACGGGUGAGUAACGCGUAUCCAACCUGCCGAUAACUCGGGGAUAGCCUUUCGAAAGAAAGAUUAAUACCCGAUGGCAUAAUAGAACCGCAUGGUUUGAUUAUUAAAGAAUUUCGGUUAUCGAUGGGGAUGCGUUCCAUUAGGCAGUUGGUGGGGUAACGGCCCACCAAACCUUCGAUGGAUAGGGGUUCUGAGAGGAAGGUCCCCCACAUUGGAACUGAGACACGGUCCAA